RNAcentral lists this ribosomal RNA (253 nucleotides) under uncultured bacterium. Its description in RNAcentral is "partial 16S ribosomal RNA". It matches the Rfam family "Bacterial small subunit ribosomal RNA", at positions 524 to 776 of the family's 1533-position model. The record is from RNAcentral.
UACAGAGGGUGCGAGCGUUGUCCGGAAUCACUGGGCGUAAAGGGCGCGUAGGCGGCUUGAUAAGCGUGCGGUGAAAGCCCGGGGCUCAACCCCGGGUCGGCCGUGCGAACUGUCGAGCUGGAGCACUGUAGAGGCAGGUGGAAUUCCGGGUGUAGCGGUGGAAUGCGUAGAGAUCCGGAAGAACACCGGUGGCGAAGGCGGUGAGCUGGGCAGUUGCUGACACUGAGGCGCGACAGCGUGGGGAGCAAACAGG